UACGAAGGGGGCUAGCGUUGCUCGGAAUUACUGGGCGUAAAGGGCGCGUAGGCGGACAGUUUAGUCAGAGGUGAAAGCCCAGGGCUCAACCUUGGAACUGCCUUUGAUACUGACUGUCUUGAGUUCGGGAGAGGUGAGUGGAAUGCCGAGUGUAGAGGUGAAAUUCGUAGAUAUUCGGCGGAACACCAGUGGCGAAGGCGACUCACUGGCCCGAUACUGACGCUGAGGCGCGAAAGCGUGGGGAGCAAACAGG
Molecule: ribosomal RNA, 253 nt
Filed under: uncultured bacterium
Lineage: Bacteria
Also listed under: 1 other name
Description: partial 16S ribosomal RNA
Rfam family: Bacterial small subunit ribosomal RNA
Source: RNAcentral